UGUGUAGGCGGUUAUGUAAGAUAGCGGUGAAAUCCCGGGGCUUAACCUCGGAAUAGCCGUUAUAACUAUGUAGCUAGAGUUAUGGAGAGGAUAGCGGAAUACCCAGUGUAGAGGUGAAAUUCGUAGAUAUUGGGUAGAACACCAGUGGCGAAGGCGGUCUACUGGGCACCAACUGACGCUGAGGAGCGAAAGCAUGGGGAGCGAACA
Molecule: ribosomal RNA, 207 nt
Filed under: uncultured bacterium
Lineage: Bacteria
Description: partial 16S ribosomal RNA
Rfam family: Bacterial small subunit ribosomal RNA
Source: RNAcentral